GGGGAUAUAGCUCAGUGGGUAGAGUGCUUGCCUAGCAUGCACAAGGCCCUGGGUUCAAUCCCUAGCACCUCCA
RNAcentral lists this transfer RNA (73 nucleotides) under Ictidomys tridecemlineatus (thirteen-lined ground squirrel). Its description in RNAcentral is "Spermophilus tridecemlineatus (thirteen-lined ground squirrel) tRNA". It matches the Rfam family "tRNA". From Rfam's summary of the family: Transfer RNA (tRNA) molecules are approximately 80 nucleotides in length. Their secondary structure includes four short double-helical elements and three loops (D, anti-codon, and T loops). The record is from Rfam by way of RNAcentral. Lineage: Eukaryota; Metazoa; Chordata; Mammalia; Rodentia; Sciuridae.